This 497-nucleotide ribosomal RNA is filed under the name uncultured bacterium. RNAcentral describes it as "partial 16S ribosomal RNA". It matches the Rfam family "Bacterial small subunit ribosomal RNA", at positions 28 to 507 of the family's 1533-position model. The record is from RNAcentral.
GAUGAACGCUGGCGGCGUGCCUAAUACAUGCAAGUCGAGCGAACAGACGAGGAGCUUGCUCCUUCGACGUUAGCGGCGGACGGGUGAGUAACACGUAGGUAACCUACCUAUAAGACUGGGAUAACUUCGGGAAACCGGAGCUAAUACCGGAUAAUAUUUCGAACCGCAUGGUUCGAUAGUGAAAGAUGGCUUUGCUAUCACUUAUAGAUGGACCUGCGCCGUAUUAGCUAGUUGGUAAGUUAACGGCUUACCAAGGCAACGAUACGUAGCCGACCUGAGAGGGUGAUCGACCACACUGGAGCUGGGAAACGGUCCAGACUCCUACGGGAGGCAGCAGUAGGGAAGUUUACGCAAUGGGCGAAAGCCUGACGGAGCAACGCCGCGUGUGUGAUUAAGGUCUUCGGAUCGUAAAACUCUGUUAUUAGGGAAGAACAGACGUGUAAGUAACUGUGCACGUCUUGACGGUACCUAACCAGAAAGCCACGGCUAACUACGUG